UCAUUAAAAUAAUCCAACCAGCAGACCUCCAGUUGUGGCAGUGUCCUAAUUAAAAGAAUCCAACCAGCAGACCUCCAGGUGUGGCAGUGUCCUAAUUAAAAGAAUCCAACCAGCAGACCUCCAGUUGUGGCAGUGUCCUCAUUAAAAUAAUCCAACCAGCAGACCUCCAGUUGUGGCAGUGUCCUCAUUAAAAUAAUCCAACCAGCAGACCUCCAGUUGUGGCAGUGUCCUAAUUAAAAGAAUCCAACCAGCAGACCUCCAGUUGUGGCAGUGUCCUCAUUAAAAUAAUCCAACCAGCAGACCUCCAGUUGUGGCAGUGUCCUCAUUAAAAUAAUCCAACCAGCAGACUUCCAGUUGUGGCAGUGUCCUCAUUAAAAGUACACAACUCAGAAUGAACCAUGCUACACCUGGAAGUUCAAUGUUUUCAUUGAACUCCUAAUAAGAAGUAAGUAGAGCUGGAUGGAUAGGACACAGAGUUGUAUAGAGUACAUCUAAAGAUGGGAGAGCCAUCAUUUCCAACAGAUAUCCUUGCCGGGGGUGGCUUUGAACAUCAUGCAAUGCUUCUCAUGGAGGGAGCCUGAAGAUGUUCCGUGUGUCACGCCUCAUGUGUUCUCAGUCAACUUACCUGGUAAAAUAAGGGGGAAAAAAAAUACAAAAAUCAAAUGUCUAAAACGGGAAAAAAGGGAGACAAAUCUCAAAAUCUACAAAUUCAAUGUUUUACACAAUAAUGUUUCUCAUUUGAUGAGUUACUGAUCUGUCCUUCCACAUGCUCAAUCUGCUGUAGACUACAACUGGACUCUUGCGCUCGGAUCAUACUGGCACACAAUGUCCAUGUACCAGAUGGCUUGAGGGAUGCUCUCCUGUUGGGCUGGAAAACAAAGACAUUUGGUCAGUGGUCGGUCUUUUUUAAUGCUUUUUCACCAUCUUUAUUUUUACAGAAAAUGCAUUGUUUAUCAUAACACAAACACACCUUGGACAACGUGACAAGUGGUCCCUCAACACCCGACCCUAAAUCAUGAGAACCAUACACAAACAUACUGAACAGCUAUAUCCACAAAUUCAUAAAUAUUUAAUUAGCUAACUAGUUAACGUUAGCUCACAAUUUGUAUUGUUUUCCACAUGGUGACAUGUAGUUAGCCCACCAGAGCAUGGAUAUUUAACAUUAGCUAGCUAGCUACGUUAGCACAUCGUUCAUGUAGUCAGACUUUUCCCCAGACCCUAAGUUUUGUUUUAACAUGCUAGCUAGUCCACCAGGGCAGGGAUAUUUAAUGUUAGCUAGCGCUAAUUGCUCAAGUUUGGCACACCUGCUAGCAUGUCACCGCCUGUCAGGAAAGUCUGACUACACGACGGUGAGAUACGGUGUAACGUUAGAUAAUGUAGCUAGGUAGCCAACCAAUGUGCCUAACUAACUAACGUAAACUCACCCCAUUCCGUACAAAUGUGCGCAACCGCGACAUUCAAAUGAGGCUACUGGGACUGUAGCGACUGUGUUGACUUCAACAUCUGGGGUGUGAACUACGUUUCUAUUCAAGCGUUGAUCGACAUGGUAAUUGCUCUAUAGUAUUGGAGAAAAGUAGAAAAAUCUGACCCUCCAUUACAUCGUAACGUACAGCACGCAUAAAGCAACUAUUUCUGUCUUACAAUCUCUCUCCACCAGGUGUAGCACUUCUCUCAUCGUUUAAAAACAAGAAAUGGACAGUGACGGGGGUAAGGGGGAUACCUAGUCAUUUUUUGCGUCAUCACUGUAAGCGAUCAUGACUCUCAAAGCCGCUGUUUACUUCUGAAGAUCACUUUAGCACCGCCCUAAAAACCCGAUUCAAAUUCGACACAAACCUUCAAAUAGGUAUGUAAUGACACAUUAUAUAAACUCUUAAUAGUUUUUUAUUUACAUUUUAGAGGCGAUAAGGUGAUAAGAUCGAGUGAAAAAAAGCAGGUUUCCCAUACAUCUCGCCUUCUCGCUAUCACGCAUUAGUUUCGCUUCCCCACCCACCAUUUUUAAAAAGACCCGAAGGAGUUCAUUGCCUUCUUGAAUUAUGCAGAAACGGGCAGCGUGGAUCUCAUGUCAUUAAUUUUGUUGGAAAGGGGAGAAAUUGUACUUUACAAUGGUAUUGAUAUUACAGUUGAUCUGGAAGUAUUACGUUUUUGGGGCGAUAAAAUAAGGUCAAUUGUACGGACCAAGGCGGUGUACAAAAGUGAGUGAGUUUACGUUAACCCACCAGGUGAUAUUUAGCUAGCUAGCUAGUUAACAUUAGCUCACCGUUCAUGUAGUCAGACAUUACUAUGUGGUGACAGGCUAGUUAACUAUCCUUGCCCUGGUCCGUGCUAACGUUAACUAGCAUGUCACCACUUGGAAAAGUCUUGACUACAUGAACGGUGAGUUAACGUUAACUAGCUAGAUAGCCAAAUAUCCCUGCCCUGGUGGGCUAACGUUAGCUUGCAUGUCACCACGUUGAAAAGUAUGACUACACGAAUUAUGAGCUAAGGUUAACUAGCUGGCUAGCUCACAAAGGACAAUAAUAAAAGGUCACAACAGUCAUUAUGCUAGCUUAUGCUUGUUUUCUUUUUACUUGUGUAACUGAUGUGAAAUGGCUAGCUAGAUAGCGGGGUGCGCGCUAAUAGCGUUUCAAUCGGUGACGUCACUCGCUCUGAGACCUUGAAGUAGUUGUUCCCCUUGCUCUGCAAGAGCCGCGGCUUUUGUGGAGCGAUGGGUAAUGAUGCUUCGAGGGUGGCUGUUGUUGAUGUGUGCAGAGGGUCCCUGGUUAGAACCCAGGUAGGGGCGAGGAGAGGGACGGAAGCUAAACUGUUACACUUGUAAGGAAGGUAAAAUGCCUUAUACACUUUACAGUCGGUGGUUAUCUAACUUAGCUAAUUUUCAUUAGCACCUAGCUAACCACAGAUCUUUGUCUUAUUACCCAAAAUAGUUUGUUAUAAGCUAAAAAACAGGGCUUACCAUAUCACACGGCUCCAGCGACGCUUCUCGCUUACAGAGGUUGGAAAACGAUAAAAUGCAUGUGUGCUUAUCAGAGUAGUGGAUAAAAUCCGGUACAUAGCACAGAAUCAUCCUUGCUUCUGAUCGACAGAGAUACCUAAGGUUAGCUAGCUAGCUUUAUAGGCCAGGGUAAUUAAACAAAUCCUAGUGUAACCGAUGUGAAAUGGCUAGUUAGUUAGCGGUGGUGCGCGCUAAUAGCGUUUCAAUCAGGGGGCCGCAGCUUUUGUGGCGCGAUGAGUAACGAUGCUUCGUGGGGUGUCAGUUGUUGAUGUGUGCAAGGGUCCCUGGUUCGAGCCCGGGUUGGGGCGAAGAGAGGGACGGAACCUACACUGUUACACUAGUAAUAAAAAAAUGCUAAGGUUACUUGCUACUUGUCGAUAUGAAUUUACAUGGAGAAAUGUGGAUGUUUUUCCUACUCUGAAACGCUGGCUUGAGUGAUGAUGCCAAAGCUUGCGACAGGAUGUGUAGUUCUGUAUGAUAUUGAUAAGUGACCUUGUCCGAGAGAGAUUUACACGAUUAGCAAAACAUCACGCCAGGGUAAGCCUAGAUGACAUACAUGUGAAGUGGUUCUAAAAUCCCCUAUGGGAAAAAGAAUGGUGGAAAAAUUAUUGAAACCGUUUACAUGUUUGAACGAUAGGUUUUAUGGGUAUUAUGACUAUUAUGACUCUUACUGUGGUAGACUAUAUAGUGGAUAAUCUGUGCAUUAACAACACGGAUAGAACAAUGAACCAGAUGUUUCACCCAACGAUUUAUAUAUACACUAGAGGACUGAUAGGCUUGUUGUGUUGAAGCCACUGUGCCUCCAUCUUGGCACUCACCCACCAUUGUAAAAAAUAUUUUGGAAGCGACAGAAAUGCAUUUAUUAAUGUCUAUAUUUGUUUUUUUAACACUUGUAUUCUAUUACAGAUGUAGCAAUAUUGAUGUUACUCAUAUUGAUGUUACACAGGAAACGGAAACCGGUUGUUACUUACUUUAUUAAUGUGCUGGUCGACAACAUGCCUAGUAAAGUUUGCUUAACUAUAUAUCUUUGUCUGUCAUGACUACAACACAAAGCAUAUUGAAACAUGGUGGCAGCGGUACUCAAAAGAACCUGUAUCUCAUCGAUGUAAAUGAAGAAUACAUCCCAGGCGACAGUUUGAAAAAGUGCCGCGUUUACAGGCUAGUCAUCGCGCCGAACGUCUACGUUAACUGGCUAUCGUGAGUGACUCUGUGCUAAAAGCUAGCUGGCUAUUGGAUACAAGCAGAUUCGUGAGUAGCUAACGUUCCAUUCUACAACUAAAUCGCCAUGGAAAAUGCACUGAAACCUACGGGAAAAAUAGACUUUGAUGAUUGUAAUUUAGCACUGACCUGGAAAAGAUGGAAAGAGGAAUUGAAUUUGUACAUGGCUCUUACAAUGAGAGAAAAACGUGAUGACUACAAAGUGAAGC
This 4416-nucleotide long non-coding RNA is filed under the name Salmo salar (Atlantic salmon). RNAcentral describes it as "lncRNA (ENSSSAG00000091761.1)". Lineage: Eukaryota; Metazoa; Chordata; Actinopteri; Salmoniformes; Salmonidae. The record is from RNAcentral.